CAGCAGCCACGGUAAUACAGAGGGUGCGAGCGUUAAUCGGAUUUACUGGGCGUAAAGCGUGCGUAGGCGGCUUCUUAAGUCGGAUGUGAAAUCCCUGAGCUUAACUUAGGAAUUGCAUUCGAUACUGGGAAGCUAGAGUAUGGGAGAGGAUGGUAGAAUUCCAGGUGUAGCGGUGAAAUGCGUAGAGAUCUGGAGGAAUACCGAUGGCGAAGGCAGCCAUCUGGCCUAAUACUGACGUUGAGGUACGAAAGCAUGGGGAGCAAACAGGAUUAGAUACCCCUGUAGUCCCUGUCUCUUAUAC
Molecule: ribosomal RNA, 301 nt
Filed under: uncultured bacterium
Lineage: Bacteria
Description: partial 16S ribosomal RNA
Rfam family: Bacterial small subunit ribosomal RNA
Source: RNAcentral